This is a long non-coding RNA of Sinocyclocheilus grahami, 672 nucleotides long. NCBI's taxonomy places the organism in Eukaryota, Metazoa, Chordata, Actinopteri, Cypriniformes, Cyprinidae. The record is from Ensembl.
GAGGCAGCGACCGUCAGCUUGUCUCGCGCAGCACACUUUUUUCAGUAGUUCACGCUCUCUUCUAGUGUGCGUCACAUCGUUGCGUCUCCUGUCAGCCGCAGUUGCGCUGAAGCCGUAUACUCCAGUUGACUGAAAUAAAGGUCUACCCGAGUCUCAAAAGAGGAUUCAAGAACAAGGAUAAUAUUUGAACCAUAAUGCCAAAACUGGUUAAAAUGGUUUCAACCGGGGAUUCAAAAGACGUGUCAAAGUCAUCACAGAGCAAUGGACAUCACACAUCACAAAUAUUUCAUUGUUUAACAACCCUCGUAUGUUUCAUGCUGUCGGCGUCUUCGGUGGCAGUUUGUCUGUUUAUGAACGUCAAAACAUCUCAUCUUGAGCGUAAAAUUGAGCUUCUGGAGAUGGAGCGACUGUCUGUGAUUCAGCCUGCGCACGCGACUCUGGAUGCGAUAGAGAAACUUGUGCAAGAGAGACUCAGAGAGGGAGUGUCGAGAAUUCGCACAGCUCGAGAAGCAGCGCAAGAGUGCUCGUGUCCUCCAGGUUUGUUCCUCUGCAUGAGUCUGGGAUGUUUUACCUUCUUUUCCCUCCUAAAACGAUCAACUGAGGCAUAUUUACUCUAUUUUUAUCACGAAAUCUGAACUAUGCCUUAAAUUGGGUCAAUAUAAAUGAUGCAGC